AAAGAAGAUAAAAUAAAUAAAUAAAUAAAACUUGCUCACAGUCACUCAGCUAGGCAGGAGGUGCAAUCAGGAUUCAAAUCUAGAUCUAGCAGGCUCUGAAGUGUUGCUCUUAUCACUGUCCGGGAACACGGCUUGCACGGACCCACAAAGGCGUUUUCCCAACCUACCAAGAUUCUCUUUCUUGCAUGAUGCGGUGACGCCCUUCGGCCUGACUCUGCAUUUCAUGUCUUAACUGUGCCUCCAGGUCAUGACGGGCUUCAGGACGAAGACAGCGCACAUGUGUUUCCUUCCUUCUAAGAGUUUCUACUUACUGGGCAUUUGCUCGGGUCACCAAGACCCCUUUUAAGGGGAGAGGUGUUUAGAGCAUUCCAGUAUCAGUAAGCAGUGAAUCACUCGUAAGAACUGGAUGAAAUGAAAAUAUUCGGAAGAGUGUCGGGCCAAUGCACCAUUUUGGUAUUCAUCUUCAAUAGAGUUCUGAGCAAAAGAAGAGGCUCAGGCAUAGAGGCUUUCUUCUUUAUACUUUGGUGAAGGGGAUAGAAGUUGACGUCACAGGUGGAAGGGAAAGACAGGAGUAGCAAGGAGUGUCUUCUGCCUUCCGGCAGUAGCAUCUGGAGAUGCCUUCCAUGUGUUACUAACCACAAUGGGAAGAUAGCACCAAAGCCAGUAAGUCAGCCCUCAAGAUGAUUCAGAGUUCUGGGGUAAUUUAUUAUACACUCGUAAACAACGAAUGCAUUAUUUUAUUAUGAUGCGUGAGGUGCUUCUGUAAGAGAAACCUGAAAUGUUGGAGUGGCUUUGGAACUGGACAGCGGGGGAAGCUGGAAGGACUUGGGAGAGAGUGUCAGCGAAAGCCCUUAAAGUCUUGAAGAAUCUGUGAGUACAAUCCUGAUGGGCUUUGAGAAGGCUGUAGAUGAAGGCUUUAGGGGAAAUAAGGAAAAGGUUAUUGAAAACUGGAGGAGAGGGGUCCUUGUAACACAGUGGCAGGAAGUUUAGCAACACUGUCAUCUGGAGGGAUGUAGAAAGUACAAAAUGUGUCUAAUUAAUGGAGUGUUCUAGCUCAGUAUAUUUCCAGGUAGAGUGUUGAAGGUGCUGACUGAUGUCUUCUUCCUUAUUAUAGCAAAAUGUGAGGAGAAAAAUCUAAAGAAGGGCUAAAAAGAAGCCCAGAACUUGCUAGACUAGAAAAUUCCCAUCUUCUCUGGAUGACGAAUAAUGCUGAAAUGAAGAAACGGUUUCCACUCAAAAAAUAAACUCUAGGAUACUUCAAGGAGCA
RNAcentral lists this long non-coding RNA (1267 nucleotides) under Felis catus (domestic cat). Its description in RNAcentral is "lncRNA (ENSFCAG00000051166.1)". Lineage: Eukaryota; Metazoa; Chordata; Mammalia; Carnivora; Felidae. The record is from RNAcentral.